UACGUAGGUGGCAAGCGUUGUCCGGAUUUACUGGGCGUAACGAGCGCGCAGGCGGUCGUUCAAGUCGCGUGUGAAAGCCCCCGGCUCAACUGGGGAGGGUCACGCGAUACUGAUCGACUCGAAGGCAGGAGAGGGUAGUGGAAUUCCCGGUGUAGUGGUGAAAUGCGUAGAUAUCGGGAGGAACACCAGUGGCGAAGGCGACUACCUGGCCUGUUUCUUGACGCUGAGGCGCGAAAGCUAGGGGAGCAAACGGG
RNAcentral lists this ribosomal RNA (254 nucleotides) under uncultured bacterium. RNAcentral describes it as "partial 16S ribosomal RNA". It matches the Rfam family "Bacterial small subunit ribosomal RNA", at positions 524 to 776 of the family's 1533-position model. The record is from RNAcentral.